RNAcentral lists this ribosomal RNA (440 nucleotides) under uncultured bacterium. Its description in RNAcentral is "partial 16S ribosomal RNA". It matches the Rfam family "Bacterial small subunit ribosomal RNA", at positions 338 to 795 of the family's 1533-position model. The record is from RNAcentral.
CCUACGGGAGGCAGCAGUGGGGAAUAUUGCACAAUGGGGGAAACCCUGAUGCAGCGACGCCGCGUGAGUGAAGAAGUAAUUCGUUAUGUAAAGCUCUAUCAGCAGGGAAGAAAAUGACGGUACCUGAGUAAGAAGCCCCGGCUAACUACGUGCCAGCAGCCGCGGUAAUACGUAGGGGGCAAGCGUUAUCCGGAUUUACUGGGUGUAAAGGGAGCGUAGACGGCAGUGCAAGUCUGGAGUGAAAGGCGGGGGCUCAACCCCCGGACUGCUCUGGAAACUGUACGGCUGGAGUGCAGGAGAGGGCAGUGGAAUUGCGAGUGGAGCGGUGAAAUGCGUAGAUAUUUGGGGGAACACCAGUGGCGAAGGCGGAUUACGGGACUAAGACUGACGUUGAGGCUCGAAAGCGUGGGGAGCAAACAGGAUUAGAUAUACCUGUAGUC